Molecule: ribosomal RNA, 402 nt
Filed under: uncultured Hyphomicrobium sp.
Lineage: Bacteria; Pseudomonadati; Pseudomonadota; Alphaproteobacteria; Hyphomicrobiales; Hyphomicrobiaceae
Description: bacterial SSU rRNA
Rfam family: Bacterial small subunit ribosomal RNA
Source: RNAcentral
UGGGGAAUAUUGGACAAUGGGCGCAAGCCUGAUCCAGCCAUGCCGCGUGAGUGACGAAGGCCUUAGGGUUGUAAAGCUCUUUUGGCGGGGACGAUAAUGACGGUACCCGCAGAAUAAGCCCCGGCUAACUUCGUGCCAGCAGCCGCGGUAAUACGAAGGGGGCUAGCGUUGUUCGGAAUUACUGGGCGUAAAGCGCACGUAGGCGGAUUUGUAAGUCAGGGGUGAAAUCCCGGGGCUCAACCUCGGAACUGCCUUUGAUACUGCAAGUCUCGAGUCCGAUAGAGGUGAGUGGAAUUCCUAGUGUAGAGGUGAAAUUCGUAGAUAUUAGGAAGAACACCAGUGGCGAAGGCGGCUCACUGGAUCGGUACUGACGCUGAGGUGCGAAAGCGUGGGGAGCAAACA